This 1054-nucleotide long non-coding RNA is filed under the name Manacus vitellinus (golden-collared manakin). Its description in RNAcentral is "lncRNA (ENSMVIG00005007473.1)". Lineage: Eukaryota; Metazoa; Chordata; Aves; Passeriformes; Pipridae. The record is from RNAcentral.
GCCAGGAACAGGAAUCUCCUCGCUGCCUGCUGACCUGCUCUUGUUCAGAGCUUCUCCCCCCACCCCAGGCGAGAAAGCCUCUGUGGGUAUUCUGGGCCUGCUGAAGUCAGUGCCUUUGUCCCGAAGAUCCACAUAUGAGAAGGUCUGGAUUGGCGGAUCCACCAGCACUUCAUGUGUGCCGGCACGUUUCUAUCCUGGCUCCCUCCUGCGAUGCCUUCCUCCUCCUCCUCCCCUGCAGACCGUGUGCUUUGGCAGUGCCGCUUCCCCCUCUGAUCCUUAUCUUGGCUGCCGGGCUUGCGGGGCUCGAGGGCGCGUUCCUGCCUGGCAGCCAAACAGCGCAACCCCGGGGCUGAGCCGCAGGAAUGCGCUUCCCAGAGAGCUCGGCGUUUGGAACGGCAGCCUGUGUUUGGUAACACAACCCGGCCGUGACUGCUGGAAAACGUUACCCUCCACCUCUGGGCCGGGGCAGCUAGAAGAGGCUUUAAAAUCACAAAUUAAAAUACAAAUACAACGGGGAGAAGGAAAGCCAUCCUGGCAAAGGGAAGACAAGGUGAUCAGCAACGCUCAUCACACACUUGAGCUUGUUUUCUCUGAUUAUGAUUGACCCUUAGGAAGGGGUUUGGGGGCACCAAACUGACCAAGCCCUGUUCAGUUAUCGAUGAACACAACCUCAGAGCCAGCAAGACCCUUAGAUGGGCUCGAGGAGCCGCCUGAGCCUGAUUUAGCCCAAAUUCCCCUUUUCCCAUCUGAGCUCUGAGGAUGGCAGCCUCCAUCCUUAAAUUAGCUGGAGGGUGCUGGGAGAGCUGCUUGUAGGGCCAAGAGUUCCACAGGACAGCAGGAGGAAGGAGCCCAUGGGACUCGCCUUGGUUUCCAUCAGCUUGGUUUGCUGCGCUGCAAUUUUUGACUUAAUUACAUUGUUUGCAAAAGGAGAGUUUGUAAAUGCUUGUCACCAGGAGAACAAAGUUACAUAAUUAAACUAUUUAGCAGAGUCUGUGGCUUCAGUGCAGUUCUCUGGGGUGAUUCAGCAUUCCAAUAAAAAUACUGUGUGAUACCA